UCAACGUACUUAACAGGCGGGACCCUCUCACAGUCAAGAAGCUUUGGAUUAUCUGCAGUAGUUGACUUGAGCUGAGCGGCCAAGCUGAGCCUUGAACUUCCGAGCCCUGAAACUUCAGUAGGGCAACCUUUGUUCAUUUCUUUUCCAUUAAACGUUGUUUUCGUUUGUAAACUAAAUUUUUUUAGAUAUGCUUUGUUAUCGCCCAUGUUAGGGUUGAAUGCAAGGCCGAAUGCCUAUUAUGUAAAUUGUGUGUUACUACA
Prunus avium (sweet cherry) is the source of this 260-nucleotide non-coding RNA. The record is from RefSeq and is a predicted model, not a curated record. NCBI's taxonomy places the organism in Eukaryota, Viridiplantae, Streptophyta, Magnoliopsida, Rosales, Rosaceae.